RNAcentral lists this long non-coding RNA (1501 nucleotides) under Homo sapiens (human). RNAcentral's name for it is "HSALNT0033056". The record is from RNAcentral. Lineage: Eukaryota; Metazoa; Chordata; Mammalia; Primates; Hominidae.
CUUUAACAGAUAAUUUUUAAGAAUGCAUGUCCUUGCUUUCUCUGUGGAGACACACGUUAGUGAUCCCAGGAGGGGAAAUAAACAUACGUUUUUAAAUGAAGAUAUUUAAAAUGUACCCCAUAUUUCAGCAUGUUGCUGUAACCUGGUCUUUUUUAUGUUCCUCCUAUAAAACCUAAAUUAAGCCUCUUAGGAGUGGUUUUGCUGCAGGUUUCAACUAAAAACACAAUACAUUUUAAAUGGUUCCAGUACUUGAGUGCACUUUAACAUGUAAUCACUAAUGUGCAUUCUCUUCCUCUCUCUUCCAAGCACCAGUCCUUCUAAAAGGAUGAGACUUCUUUAAAAUUUAGCUUCAUUUGAAAUGUAAACUUUUAACAAAUAGUAAUUGCUUCUGUAGCUCUAUUGAUGAAGUGACUGGCAGCAAAUCUUUUCUUUCUUUUUUUUCCCCCCUCUCUCUGUAACAUUUUGAAAUACCCAUCAGUGUCAAAGAAAACUGCACACGCCUCCUUUGGUGCUCUAAAUAAGGCUCAGCAAUGUUAAGAAAAAUGUCAGAAAAAGCUCAGUGGAUUAAAGGAACAUUUCUGCAUCAUGUCAAGGAGGAUGGCAGGGCAGACUGGUCUGCAUAAUUUUGAAAGAUAUUUUUUGUAAAACGCGUACUCUUAUGAACCAAAUGAAAUUUUAUUUGGAAAGAUUUGAUAUUGUAUUUGAUAACAUACAACCUUCAGUUGUUUUUCUAAAUCUUGUUAUUUUUUAAAUAUGUCUUUGGUAUGUAUUCUUUACAUUAGAACUGUAAUACACUCAUCUUUUGGUAGAAUGUUCCUGUACCCGGGUGCAGCGUUAAAAUACAUUUCAGACUCUUUCAUGCAUUUUUCUUUUCUUUCUAAAAUUCUUGGAAUGUUCACUCAGCGGAAGCAGUGAAAAUGCUCGGCUCUUCCACAUGCAAAUUUAUUGAACUAGUCAGUCAUUUUUCCCCUUAAAUAAAAUGUGUGUAUAGUUUUGGAGAUUUUCAAAAAAUAAAUCAUUUACAUGCAUUUGUGUAUUAAAAAUAAAUUGCUGGUGUGAUGUUUUUAGUUUGUUUUGUUCUAUUUUACUAAAGAAUAUGCAAUAGUCACAAAAUAGUGCAACGACAGUAAAAUAUUCCACAGUAUUGUAACUACGUAAUUAAAACAACGUCAGAAAACACCUUACAAAUUUAAUACUAGAUACCACCAGAAAUGGCAAGAUUAGUUUUACAGAAACAAGGUUGUGGAAAACUGGGACUUACCCCAAAGCCGCAAAGCAGGCAAUCACGAAGAGUAUUUGGGUAAGAAUGCAAUCUGAAGAGGAAAAAAAGAAAAAUGAGGAAGAAUAUCAGCAAAUAACAGUAAAACUUUCAAAUUACUUUUCAAAUGGCCCUGUAAUUAUGGUUUUCACAAGAAUGAAAGAAAAAAACGCCCUUCAAAUUUUGGAAGAAAUAUAAAGAAGAACUCUUUGGAAGGAAGGAAAAAACAAAGGAAGGGAGGGA